This 504-nucleotide ribosomal RNA is filed under the name uncultured bacterium. RNAcentral's name for it is "bacterial SSU rRNA". It matches the Rfam family "Bacterial small subunit ribosomal RNA", at positions 28 to 521 of the family's 1533-position model. The record is from RNAcentral.
GAUGAACGCUAGCUACAGGCUUAACACAUGCAAGUCGAGGGGCAGCACAGAGAUAGCUUGCUAUCUUGGGUGGCGACCGGCGCACGGGUGAGUAACGCGUAUCCAACCUGCCCAUUACUCGGGGAUAGCCUUGCGAAAGUAAGAUUAAUACCCGAUGUUGUUAAAAACCCGCAUGAGUUUUUAACCAAAGAUUUAUUGGUAAUGGAUGGGGAUGCGUGACAUUAGGUAGUAGGUGAGGUAACGGCUCACCUAGCCGACGAUGUCUAGGGGUUCUGAGAGGAAGGUCCCCCACACUGGAACUGAGACACGGUCCAGACUCCUACGGGAGGCAGCAGUGAGGAAUAUUGGUCAAUGGACGAGAGUCUGAACCAGCCAAGUAGCGUGCAGGAUGACGGCCCUCUGGGUUGUAAACUGCUUUAGUUGGGAAUAAAAAGAGGGACGUGUCCCUAAUUGUAUGUACCAUCAGAAAAAAGGACCGGCUAAUUCCGUGCCAGCAGCCGCGGU